AAAACGUUUUGAAAAUGAGAAUUUAACUUUGUAAUGAUUCUUGCAUGAAUAUAUACAAAGUGGUUAUCCCGUUUGGUUUUUUGAAAGUAGUUUAGAAAAAUAGUUUUCUUUGGAAGUAGUUUGAAAGUGGUGAUUUUCCAAAAGAUGUUUGAAAGGUGUGGGGUGUGAAAAAUAUUUUUUAGGUUAUGAAUGAGCAAUUAAGGUUAUACCUGUCCGA
RNAcentral lists this long non-coding RNA (217 nucleotides) under Lathyrus oleraceus (garden pea). Its description in RNAcentral is "Pisum sativum (pea) long non-coding RNA (PSAT_LNC004824)". The record is from RNAcentral. Lineage: Eukaryota; Viridiplantae; Streptophyta; Magnoliopsida; Fabales; Fabaceae.